UACGUAGGGUGCAAGCGUUGUCCGGAAUUAUUGGGCGUAAAGAGCUCGUAGGCGGUUUGUUGCGUCGGCUGUGAAAUCCCGAGGCUCAACCUCGGGUCUGCAGUCGAUACGAGCAAACUAGAGUGUUGCAGGGGAGACUGGAAUUCCUGGUGUAGCGGUGAAAUGCGCAGAUAUCAGGAGGGAACACCGGUGGCGAAGGCGGGUCUCUGGGACGGUACUGACGCUGAGACGCGAAAAGCCGUGGGGAAGCAAACAGG
This 257-nucleotide ribosomal RNA is filed under the name uncultured bacterium. RNAcentral describes it as "partial 16S ribosomal RNA". It matches the Rfam family "Bacterial small subunit ribosomal RNA", at positions 524 to 776 of the family's 1533-position model. The record is from RNAcentral.